AUACGGAGGACGCGAGCGUUAUCCGGAUUCAUUGGGUUUAAAGGGUGCGCAGGCGGCCGUGCAAGUCAGCGGUGAAAGCCCGGGGCUCAACCCCGGAAGUGCCGUUGAUACUGCGUGGCUGGAAUGCGGUCGAGGCGGGCGGAACGGGGCGUGUAGCGGGGAAAUGCGUAGAUAUGGCGCAGAACGCCGAUAGCGGAGGCAGCUCGCCAGGCCUGCAUUGACGCUCGGGCACGAAAGCGUGGGGAUCGAACAGGAUUAGAUCCCCUGGUAGUCCACGCCGUAAACGAUGGGCGCUCGUCGUCGGCGACAGACAGUCGGCGGCCAAGCGAAAGCGAUAAGCGCCCCACCUGGGGAGUACGGUCGUAAGGCUGAAACUCAAAUGAAUUGACGGGG
Molecule: ribosomal RNA, 393 nt
Filed under: uncultured bacterium
Lineage: Bacteria
Description: partial 16S ribosomal RNA
Rfam family: Bacterial small subunit ribosomal RNA
Source: RNAcentral